UCCCUUGUAGCUCAGUUGGUAAAGAAUUUGUCUGCAAGGCAGGAGACCCAGGUUCGAUUCAUGGAAAGGGAA
RNAcentral lists this transfer RNA (72 nucleotides) under Bos taurus (domestic cattle). It matches the Rfam family "tRNA". From Rfam's summary of the family: Transfer RNA (tRNA) molecules are approximately 80 nucleotides in length. Their secondary structure includes four short double-helical elements and three loops (D, anti-codon, and T loops). Lineage: Eukaryota; Metazoa; Chordata; Mammalia; Artiodactyla; Bovidae. The record is from Rfam by way of RNAcentral.